RNAcentral lists this ribosomal RNA (443 nucleotides) under uncultured Bradyrhizobium sp. RNAcentral describes it as "bacterial SSU rRNA". It matches the Rfam family "Bacterial small subunit ribosomal RNA", at positions 1 to 473 of the family's 1533-position model. Lineage: Bacteria; Pseudomonadati; Pseudomonadota; Alphaproteobacteria; Hyphomicrobiales; Nitrobacteraceae. The record is from RNAcentral.
UAGUGUUUGAUCCUGGCUCAGAGCGAACGCUGGCGGCAGGCUUAACACAUGCAAGUCGAGCGGGCAUAGCAAUAUGUCAGCGGCAGACGGGUGAGUAACGCGUGGGAACGUACCUUUUGGUUCGGAACAACUGAGGGAAACUUCAGCUAAUACCGGAUAAGCCCUUACGGGGAAAGAUUUAUCGCCGAAAGAUCGGCCCGCGUCUGAUUAGCUAGUUGGUGAGGUAAUGGCUCACCAAGGCGACGAUCAGUAGCUGGUCUGAGAGGAUGAUCAGCCACAUUGGGACUGAGACACGGCCCAAACUCCUACGGGAGGCAGCAGUGGGGAAUAUUGGACAAUGGGCGCAAGCCUGAUCCAGCCAUGCCGCGUGAGUGAUGAAGGCCCUAGGGUUGUAAAGCUCUUUUGUGCGUGAAGUAUAAUGACURYAYCRCUAUGUUAUSYCA